RNAcentral lists this ribosomal RNA (209 nucleotides) under Escherichia coli. RNAcentral describes it as "partial 16S ribosomal RNA". It matches the Rfam family "Bacterial small subunit ribosomal RNA", at positions 1 to 216 of the family's 1533-position model. Lineage: Bacteria; Pseudomonadati; Pseudomonadota; Gammaproteobacteria; Enterobacterales; Enterobacteriaceae. The record is from RNAcentral.
AAAUUGAAGAGUUUGAUCAUGGCUCAGAUUGAACGCUGGCGGCAGGCCUAACACAUGCAAGUCGAACGGUAACAGGAAGAAGCUUGCUUCUUUGCUGACGAGUGGCGGACGGGUGAGUAAUGUCUGGGAAACUGCCUGGUGGAGGGGGAUAACUACUGGAAACGGUAGCUAAUACCGCAUAACGUCGCAAGACCAAAGAGGGGGACCUU